This 513-nucleotide ribosomal RNA is filed under the name uncultured bacterium. RNAcentral describes it as "bacterial SSU rRNA". It matches the Rfam family "Bacterial small subunit ribosomal RNA", at positions 34 to 518 of the family's 1533-position model. The record is from RNAcentral.
CGCUGGCGGCGUGCCUAAUACAUGCAAGUCGAACGGUCUUUCUAUGGAAGCUUGCUUCCACUGAGAAGAUAGUGGCGAACGGGUGAGUAACACGUGGGUAACCUGCCCAUAAGAGGGGGGAUAACAUCCGGAAACGGGUGCUAAUACCGCAUAGUUUUCUUGAUCGCAUGAUUGAGAAAGGAAAGACGGCCUUUGUGCUGUCGCUUAUGGAUGGACCCGCGGCGUAUUAGUUAGUUGGUGAGGUAACGGCUCACCAAGACGAUGAUACGUAGCCGACCUGAGAGGGUGAUCGGCCACAUUGGGACUGAGACACGGCCCAAACUCCUACGGGAGGCAGCAGUAGGGAAUCUUCCGCAAUGGACGAAAGUCUGACGGAGCAACGCCGCGUGAGUGAAGAAAGGGUUUUCGGAUCGUAAAACUCUGUUGUCAGAGAAGAACAAGUUGGAGAGUAACUGCUCCAGCCUUGACGGUAUCUGACCAGAAAGCCACGGCUAACUACGUGCCAGCAGCCGC